Chlorocebus sabaeus (green monkey) is the source of this 107-nucleotide small nuclear RNA. NCBI's taxonomy places the organism in Eukaryota, Metazoa, Chordata, Mammalia, Primates, Cercopithecidae. The record is from Ensembl.
AUGCUCACUUUGGCAGCGCAUGUACUAAAAUUGGAACGAUAUAGAGAAUAUUAGCAUGGCCCUUGUGCAAGGAUGACACACAAAUUUAUGAAAUGUUACAUAUUUUU